This 497-nucleotide ribosomal RNA is filed under the name uncultured bacterium. Its description in RNAcentral is "partial 16S ribosomal RNA". It matches the Rfam family "Bacterial small subunit ribosomal RNA", at positions 28 to 507 of the family's 1533-position model. The record is from RNAcentral.
GACGAACGCUGGCGGCGUGCCUAAUACAUGCAAGUUGAGCGCUGAAGGUUGGUACUUGUACCAACUGGAUGAGCCGCGAACGGGUGAGUAACGCGUGGGGACUCUGCCUUUGAGCGGGGGACCACAUUUGGAAACGAAUGCUAAUACCGCAUAAAAACUUUAAACACAAGUUUUAAGUUUGAAAGAUGCAAUUGCAUCACUCACAGAUGAUCCCGCGUUGUAUUAGCUAGUUGGUGAGGUAAAGGCGCACCAAGGCGAUGAUACAUAGCCGACCUGAGAGGGUGAUCAGCCGGACUGGGACUGAGACACGGCACAAACUGCUACGGGAGGCAGCCGGAGGGAAUCGUCGGCAAGGGACGAAAGUCUGAGCGAGCAACGCCGCGGGAGUGAAGAAGGUCUUCGGGUCGUAAAUCUCGGUUGGUAGGGAAGAACGUUGGUGAGAGUGGAAAGCUCAUCAAGUGACGGUAACGACUCAGAAAGGGACGGCUAACUACGUG